ACCUGGCUGGCUCAUUUAGUAGAGCUUGUGACUCUAGAUCUAGGGGUUGUGAGUUCGAGCCCCACGUUGGGUG
RNAcentral lists this transfer RNA (73 nucleotides) under Mustela putorius furo (domestic ferret). It matches the Rfam family "tRNA". Rfam says of the family: Transfer RNA (tRNA) molecules are approximately 80 nucleotides in length. Lineage: Eukaryota; Metazoa; Chordata; Mammalia; Carnivora; Mustelidae. The record is from Rfam by way of RNAcentral.